Molecule: ribosomal RNA, 281 nt
Filed under: Segatella copri DSM 18205
Lineage: Bacteria; Pseudomonadati; Bacteroidota; Bacteroidia; Bacteroidales; Prevotellaceae
Description: Prevotella copri DSM 18205 partial 16S ribosomal RNA
Rfam family: Bacterial small subunit ribosomal RNA
Source: RNAcentral
UACGGAAGGUCCGGGCGUUAUCCGGAUUUAUUGGGUUUAAAGGGAGCGUAGGCCGGAGAUUAAGCGUGUUGUGAAAUGUAGACGCUCAACGUCUGCACUGCAGCGCGAACUGGUUUCCUUGAGUACGCACAAAGUGGGCGGAAUUCGUGGUGUAGCGGUGAAAUGCUUAGAUAUCACGAAGAACUCCGAUUGCGAAGGCAGCUCACUGGAGCGCAACUGACGCUGAAGCUCGAAAGUGCGGGUAUCGAACAGGAUUAGAAACCCCGGAGUCCGCGACUGAU